UUGCGCCAGAUGGAGAAGAGAGCAUUAAAUUUGUGGCUGAUUCAGCAAAAUUCUUCUCUGCCUCCGUACUGGAGAUUUGGAUAUCAGACUCGCAACAAUCACCUUGUGCUCUAACCACAGUGCUAGCACAUAAAUGAACAGUAGAAGCUGGAGAACCAGAAUCCAUGGGACCAAACCCGUCAUCAGUUUCUGUGCUCUAACCACAGUGCUAGCACUUAAAUGAACAGCAGAAGCUGGAGAGACAGAAUCCAUGGGACCAAACCCGUCAUCAGUUUUUUCCACUAUGCUCACACAUAUGCCAUCAUGCAGAUGUCGAUCAUGCCCGAUAGAUGAUUCCUGAUCAGCUUUUUCAACC
Molecule: long non-coding RNA, 355 nt
Filed under: Nicotiana benthamiana
Lineage: Eukaryota; Viridiplantae; Streptophyta; Magnoliopsida; Solanales; Solanaceae
Description: long non-coding RNA (NBEN_LNC029367)
Source: RNAcentral